AUAUCAAUAAGCGGAGGAAAAGAAACCAACAGGGAUUGCCCCAGUAACGGCGAGUGAAGCGGCAGCAGCUCAAAUUUGAAAUCUGGCCCCCGCGGGGCCCGAGUUGUAAUUUGGAGAAGAUGCUUCGGGGGCGGCCCGGUCUAGGUUCCUUGGAACAGGACGUCAUAGAGGGUGAGAGCCCCGUACGUGCCCGGUGGCCCCCCCCGUGUGAAGCUCUUUCGACGAGUCGAGUUGUUUGGGAAUGCAGCUCAAAAUGGGUGGUAAAUUUCAUCUAAAGCUAAAUAUUGGCCAGAGACCGAUAGCGCACAAGUAGAGUGAUCGAAAGAUGAAAAGCACUUUGGAAAGAGAGUUAAACAGUAC
RNAcentral lists this ribosomal RNA (360 nucleotides) under uncultured fungus. RNAcentral describes it as "eukaryotic LSU rRNA". It matches the Rfam family "Eukaryotic large subunit ribosomal RNA", at positions 40 to 398 of the family's 3401-position model. The record is from RNAcentral. Lineage: Eukaryota; Fungi.